AGUUGAGCGGAGAUAUAUGGAGCUUGCUUUAUAUAACUUAGCAGCGAACGGGUGAGUAACACGUAGAUAAUCUAUCCUAUACUGGGGGAUAGCCCGAUGAAAGUUGGAUUAAUACCGCAUAUAGCUAUAUAGUUGCAUGAUUAUGUAGUGAAAGAUUUAUUGGUAUAGGAGGAGUCUGCGGCACAUUAGCUAGUAGGUGAGGUAAAGGCUUACCUAGGCGACGAUGUGUAGCCGGUCUGAGAGGAUGAACGGCCACAAUGGAACUGAGACACGGUCCAUACUCCUACGGGAGGCAGCAGUGGGGAAUAUUGCACAAUGGGGGAAACCCUGAUGCAGCAACGCCGCGUGAGUGAAGAAGGUUUUCGGAUUGUAAAGCUCUGUUAGCAGGGAAGAGGAAGGACGGUACCUGCAGAGGAAGCCACGGCUAACUACGUGCCAGCAGCCGCGGUAAUACGUAGGUGGCAAGCGUUGUUCGGAAUAACUGGGCGUAAAGGAUGCGUAGGCGGUUAAACAAGUUAUAUGUUAAAUAUAUAGGCUUAACCUGUAGAAAGCAUAUAAAACUGUUUAACUAGAGUGCAGGAGAGGUAAGUGGAAUUCCUAGUGUAGCGGUGAAAUGCGUAGAGAUUAGGAAGAACACCAGUGGCGAAGGCGACUUACUGGACUGUAACUGACGCUGAGGCAUGAGAGCAUGGGGAGCAAACAGGAUUAGAUACCCUGGUAGUCCAUGCUGUAAACGAUGGGUACUAGGUGUGGGUUGUGAAUAACAAUUCGUGCCGUCGCAAACGCAAUAAGUACCCCGCCUGAGGAGUAC
Molecule: ribosomal RNA, 811 nt
Filed under: uncultured bacterium
Lineage: Bacteria
Description: bacterial SSU rRNA
Rfam family: Bacterial small subunit ribosomal RNA
Source: RNAcentral